RNAcentral lists this ribosomal RNA (397 nucleotides) under uncultured bacterium. Its description in RNAcentral is "bacterial SSU rRNA". It matches the Rfam family "Bacterial small subunit ribosomal RNA", at positions 28 to 429 of the family's 1533-position model. The record is from RNAcentral.
GACGAACGCUGGCGGCGUGCUUAACACAUGCAAGUCGAGCGGUAAGGCCCUUUCGGGGGUACACGAGCGGCGAACGGGUGAGUAACACGUGGGUGACCUGCCCUCAGCUCUGGGAUAAGCCUGGGAAACUGGGUCUAAUACUGGAUAUGACUCCACGGUGCAUGUCGUGGGGUGGAAAGCCUUGUGCGGCUGAGGAUGGGCCCGCGGCCUAUCAGCUUGUUGGUGGGGUGANGGCCUACCAAGGCGACGACGGGUAGCCGGCCUGAGAGGGCGACCGGCCACACUGGGACUGAGACACGGCCCAGACUCCUACGGGAGGCAGCAGUGGGGAAUCUUGCGCAAUGGGCGAAAGCCCUGACGCAGCGACGCCGCGUGAGGGAUGACGGCCUGGUGUAAG